This 479-nucleotide ribosomal RNA is filed under the name uncultured bacterium. RNAcentral describes it as "bacterial SSU rRNA". It matches the Rfam family "Bacterial small subunit ribosomal RNA", at positions 30 to 507 of the family's 1533-position model. The record is from RNAcentral.
AUUGAACGCUGGCGGCAUGCCUUACACAUGCAAGUCGAACGGCAGCACGGGAGCAAUCCUGGUGGCGAGUGGCGAACGGGUGAGUAAUGUAUCGGAACGUACCUUUCAGUGGGGGAUAACGUAGCGAAAGUUACGCUAAUACCGCAUAUUCUGUGAGCAGGAAAGCAGGGGAUCGCAAGACCUUGCGCUGAUUGAGCGGCCGAUAUCAGAUUAGCUAGUUGGUGAGGUAAAGGCUCACCAAGGCGACGAUCUGUAGCGGGUCUGAGAGGAUGAUCCGCCACACUGGAACUGAGACACGGUCCAGACUCCUACGGGAGGCAGCAGUAGGGAAUAUUGGGCAAUGGGCGCAAGCCUGACCCAGCCAUGCCGCGUGAAGGAUUAAGGCCCUCUGGGUUGUAAACUUCUUUUAUCAGGGAAGAAACCUCUCGAUUCAUCGAGAGCUGACGGUACCUGAGGAAUAAGCACCGGCUAACUCCGUG